RNAcentral lists this ribosomal RNA (743 nucleotides) under uncultured cyanobacterium. RNAcentral's name for it is "bacterial SSU rRNA". It matches the Rfam family "Bacterial small subunit ribosomal RNA", at positions 8 to 796 of the family's 1533-position model. Lineage: Bacteria; Bacillati; Cyanobacteriota. The record is from RNAcentral.
AGAGUUUGAUCCUGGCUCAGAACGAACGCUGGCGGCAUGCCUAACACAUGCAAGUCGAACGAGACCUUCGGGUCUAGUGGCGCACGGGUGCGUAACGCGUGGGAAUCUGCCCUUGGGUUCGGAAUAACAGUUGGAAACGACUGCUAAUACCGGAUGAUGUCUUCGGACCAAAGAUUUAUCGCCUAGGGAUGAGCCCGCGUCGGAUUAGCUAGUUGGUGGGGUAAUGGCCUACCAAGGCGACGAUCCGUAGCUGGUCUGAGAGGAUGAUCAGCCACACUGGGACUGAGACACGGCCCAGACUCCUACGGGAGGCAGCAGUGGGGAAUAUUGGACAAUGGGCGAAAGCCUGACGGAGCAAUACCGCGUGAGGGAGGAAGGUUCUUGGAUUGUAAACCUCUUUUCUCAGAGAAGAAUAAUGACGGUAUCUGAGGAAUAAGCAUCGGCUAACUCCGUGCCAGCAGCCGCGGUAAUACGGAGGAUGCAAGCGUUAUCCGGAAUGAUUGGGCGUAAAGCGUCCGCAGGUGGCAAUGUAAGUCUGCUGUCAAAGCGUCUGGCUCAACCAGAUAAAGGCAGUGGAAACUACAUAGCUAGAGUAAGGUAGGGGUAGAGGGAAUUCCUGGUGUAGCGGUGAAAUGCGUAGAGAUCAGGAAGAACACCGGUGGCGAAAGCGCUCUGCUGGACCUUAACUGACACUGAGGGACGAAAGCUAGGGGAGCGAAUGGGAUUAGAUACCCCCGUAGUCC